Long non-coding RNA from Syngnathoides biaculeatus (alligator pipefish), 2230 nucleotides. RefSeq lists it as uncharacterized. The record is from RefSeq and is a predicted model, not a curated record. Lineage: Eukaryota; Metazoa; Chordata; Actinopteri; Syngnathiformes; Syngnathidae. The transcript has 3 exons.
CCUGUUUUUGCUACCGUGUUGGUUGCUAAGUUAAGCUAAGCUAAGGUAUUAAAAGUUUGUCAACUCUUUCUGUGUACUCUCUUUCUUUGUAAAUAUCCCGUGUUGCAAUGUGGCUUUCAAUGUGGGCACUUGCGGCUUUUUACACAGCUGUAGCUUAUGUAUGUACCAAACGGUAUUUCCUUUACAAAUGUACUGUGUGAGGCUUAUAAGCUGGUGUGCUCUGUAGGCCGGAAAUUACGGUACCUCCAUUGUCUAAAUGUACCCAGAGUUUAUGGAACCAUUAUAAAACGGCAAAAUAUGAUUGCAGUUGUUUGUCCGAAACAUCUUUCCUUUACACUGCCAGAUUUUUUUAGGAGGAAUUAGGAGGCAUAUUCACUGACCAAAUAAUAGAUCAUUUUUGUAUUGGGUUUUUAAUAAGAAAAAUUGUAUAAAAUACUGUACAAAAAAACAAAAACAUUAUUAAACAGAAUGUUCAUUGAUUUUUUGGGGAACAUUUUUGCUUUAAUUCUUAAUUUAACAUUAAUUUUGCUAUUCCUUUAUACAACCCAGUUACACAGGGAAUAUUGGCGCAUGUAAGCAUUAUUACUAAGAUAAUUCAAAUGACUUUUUGACCAAAUUAUUCUAUUUUUCUUUUCUAAGGCUCUUGGUGUUUAAAAUAAGGAGUUGUCUCAGAGAUUGUUUGCGUGAAGAAAAACUUAAGUGAACAAAAUGAUGUAAACAACAGACACACCGAGAAAGACAUGACACUACUUACAUUUUAGUCAUCCUUGCAAUGUUUCGUAAACAACUUAACCACGAUCUCCCCGCUUGAGAGGCAUGUGGCACUUACUGCGAGGCUAAAAACUGACGCACAGCGGGAGCUGGCGUGCAUUGCAUGGGCGCCACACCAAGUCAGCGUGCGUGAGUGGCAGCUCGCGACCAAUGUUGGUAAACUCGACUUGAACAUUGCAGACGUACGAUGAGAUGUAAAACUGACAUGACGACGCGGAACGCGCCAUUGGGGUGUGCAUCGAGGCAUAGUAGCGGUUUGGCGCCCAUGUCAGGGCGCUGCAAUGUUACACCGCAAUUUUGUCCUAUUUACUGCGUUAAAGUGGAGCUACUACACAUAGUAAAACUUUGAACUAGUCAACAAGUAAAGAUUUGUGCAUCCCAGACCAGAAAUACAUCACAAAACCAGGCAAGAGAGACGAACAAAACAACUUCACUUAUCGCUAUGCACUAUUUAUCACGUGCGUCCAAAAUUAGAUAUAAUGUAGAUUUCGAUGGCAUUCAACGCAACAUCCGCUCUAUGAUCUCACAGCAGUGAAAACUGUCAAAACCUGCAUACAAACAACAACCCUAGGAACCUGCUCUGAAUACAAUUAUUUGUCGUUGUUUGCUUUAGAAGGUAUUUUUGUGAAAUUGUUGCAUCACAAGUGAAAAAACAUCACUGCUGGGAUGCUCUGACUCUCAGAACAGCGGCACCAACAGGCAUGAAAUCACACACAUGCUACAGACGCCAAUCGGGAUUACUUUGGUGUUUUCUUCUAUGACACUGACGGACGAUUUUCAAUUAAUUCCGCCUCGUAAUAGAUGAUAAUUGGAGUAGUACGAAAACUAACGGCGCUCCGUCAAGGCUCACAAAUACUUCAAAAUGUGUCCCUUUUUUUCCCUUCAACUGUUAUUACUGCUGUGUAUUUGCAGCUAUCACUCAACUAAUUAAAGAAUUUUUCCCUGGCAACUUUCCUGGACUGCUUUCUUCCAGAUAUCCAUAUUUCAUAAGCACUUCUCACCAUUACCGCCCGCCCCCCUCCUCCUCCUUCCCCCGAUCCAAGCUCUUUUUCGUGCCAGUGCAGUUGAGUGCACAACAGGGAGCAGCUUAUAUUCUCUGCUCUUCUUAAUUAUUAAAGCCAUCCUCAACACAUAGUGGCCAAAUCCAUCCACACAACUCGAGACAGUGAGUGAAAAGUCUGAGGAAUGAUUUGUUUGUAUUUAUCCACUUUCGCCAGACGCUAUAGAGGACGACAACUUGAGUGAGGAUAGGGGAGGAAACCGGAGUGCCCGGAGGAAACCCACGCAGGCACGGGGAGAACAUGCAAACUCCACACAGGCGGGUCCGGGAUGGAACCCGGGACCUCAGAACUGAUAAAAACACCAGAUCAUGCUGACAUUCUUCUCCAGUGUUCCUUUUGAACAUUUAUACUGGAUGCAGCGGGUGGAGGAAGAGUCACUCUGACGGGAAUGGCAUGUA